AGUAAAUGGACACCUCGAGGCAGUAAUUCAAUGAUUGAGGCGAUUGUCAUUCACUCGCAAAGAACAUGGGAUGCCUGUAUUAUUACAAUAAUACCUAGUACAGCAAAAAAGAUCUAAUAGAGUUAAUUUCUUCUCACAUAUGGGGAAUAAUAAAAAGAAAAAAUAUAAAUGCUGUUCAGCGUUUAAUUGCUUAGCCUCAAACCGUGAUACAAAUUUAUCCUUCUUCUAUCUUCCUCAGGAUGUCGAGAGAAGGCGACAGUGGCUCACAGCAAUUGGCAGGGAAGAUCUUUUGUCAAAGGAUAACUUAAAGCCAACAAGUUAUGUGGUUUGCGCAUCUCAUUUUAAAAAAUCAGAUUUUGUAUAUAUCCCUAGACUGCGUGAUAAUGCGUUGCCAGCAAUAUCUGUACAUGAACAAUAUGAUAAAAAUACAUUUCUCGUUGACGUUCCUACGCAAACCGAAACAGAAAUUGAAAUUACUACUAAAAAGAACGUAAAUAAUGUUACGACGUCUUCCUCUGAAACACAAACGGAAUCAAUAAAAUUACAACAAGAGGAAACGCAGACUUCAACAUCACUGCCCGCGAAGACUCAACGUAAACGUAAACUUUCAAAUGAGCUUGGAAAAAAGAUCAAAAUAAUUCUGUAUUAAAACAUAGAGACGACCCUGAGUAUAGUCAGUCAUAAUAGAGAAGAUAAAGUCGGAAAAUUAUACGUAAAAUUAAUUAAUUAGCUCAAUAAAUUAUUUAUUUACAUUAAAAGCUAAACAUAACUUCGACUUUAUCAUAAGUGGCUAAGGAUGGAAUUUCCACGGCGGAACAAAAUGGUUACAUGUACAUAUGGCGGAAUCUGGGAUGUUUUGAUGUUUCAACGUAAGAGCGGCAACCUCGCACGACCGGAGCACGUAUUGAUUCAAUCUAUAAAUGGAUUGAGGAUUCGUUGCUUAUACAUACUUGUUUUGAACAGGGACUCAGAUAUUGAGAAAUAACAAGUAAUAACGGCAUACAGUGGAAUAUUAUUAUAUUUAUUUGAACUUUUCUUAGCGUUUGGAUUGCUUGUUGAUGAGCGAGACAGGCCUUUUAUAUUCUUAUCUUUAUGAGGUAAAUAUUUUUGAUCCAGAUAAACCCAUCCAGUAAAAACAUGUACCUACCUAUCGUAGAAUUAAUAUCUACGUAGUUGAAUGUUGAAUGUCGCGGAAUUAAAUAAGUAAAUGAA
Leptidea sinapis is the source of this 1212-nucleotide long non-coding RNA. RefSeq lists it as uncharacterized. The transcript has 3 exons. The record is from RefSeq and is a predicted model, not a curated record. Lineage: Eukaryota; Metazoa; Arthropoda; Insecta; Lepidoptera; Pieridae.